AGAAUCAACGCUGGCGGCGUGCCUAAUACAUGCAAGUCGAACGCGAAAGUCCCGCAAGGGAUGAGUAGAGUGGCAAACGGGUGAGUAACACGUGGGUGACCUGCCUUCGAGCGGGGGAUACGUCCGAAAGGGCGCUAAUACCGCAUGACAUCCUGCCUUUGAAGAGGCGGAGAUCAAAGCUGGGGAUCGCAAGACCUGGCACUUGAAGAGGGGCCCGCGCCUGAUUAGCUAGUUGGUGGGGUAACGGCUCACCAAGGCAACGAUCAGUA
This 269-nucleotide ribosomal RNA is filed under the name uncultured bacterium. RNAcentral describes it as "partial small subunit ribosomal RNA". It matches the Rfam family "Bacterial small subunit ribosomal RNA", at positions 26 to 285 of the family's 1533-position model. The record is from RNAcentral.